ACCCACUCCGUAAUUCAUUACUUUUUCCUAACCCAUCGCCCUCGAACCCGUCUUCGCCAUCGAUGUCAAUCUCACCUUCGCCGCAUCACCGUUCCCUCACCUCACUUUCGCAACCUCACCCUCACUCUCGUCUCUCAGCCUCAAUUCUCUUUCUCCUUCAUCUUCAUUCUCGCCAUUCUCUCUGUUUCUCUCCCAAAUCAGAGGAACCCUAAUCAGCUUCCUUCGUUUCUCAUUUCUUAAUUUCUCUUUCAAAUCGCAGGAACCCUAACCUAUAUCUGGCAUGUCCUAAGCGUAAUUGCUACUUUACCAAAGUAUUACUCAAAGGUUUUCCCACCUAGCAACACUCUUGGAGUAACCAUUUUGGAUAUGUGUAGCAGUUGGACAAUUGAGGAAGCUUUUUCAGGUGGAUUAUGCUGAUUACAUGUUAGCUGUAUGCGGCAAUGAGGCCCUUAGGGAGCUUUCAUCUCCUGGGAAAAGUGGAAGCUUUUUCUAUUUGACACAAGAUGAUAGAUUUAUGAUAAAGAUAGUAAAAAAAUCCAAAGUCAAGUUGUUUCAAGUGAUGUUGAAGGUUGUAAACAAUUGGUUGAUGGAAAAGUGAGAGUGGGACAGUUAGAGGCACCAAGUACUGAUGGUGAUGCUGGAAGAUCAAGUUCAAAGAAGGAGAAGAAUAUGACUGGGAAUAAUGUGUGCACAGAAAGAGAGGAUCCUUCAGAGUUCAUCACUCAUAGAGCUAAAGAUUUUUUGUCUAGCAUUAAGGAUAUUGAGCAUCGGUUCAUUCGAGCUUCAGAAUCUGGUAGGGAGGUUUCAAGGCUGUUAGAGGCAAAUAGAAUCAAGGCUGGAUUUUCUGAGGCAAAAGGGAAGUCGUCGACAAUGGCUUUGAUCACGGCUAUCCAGCCUGUCUGAUGCCGUAGAAAGGCGUCACCUGUUUUCUAGGAACCUGUACAAAAAAUUAUUAGUUGGAAAAGGACAGCAUCUUUUCGAUCAUCCUUGUCUAGGAACCCUUUGGCUUCAAAAUCAAGGGAAGACAUUGAUGAUAGUGGAAGUGAUUUCGUUGAAGAAUUCUACAUGAUUGCUGGAAGCCAUUCAUCCACCCUUGACAGAUUGUAUGCGUGAGAGCGAAAACUGUAUGAUGAAGUUAAGGCUAGUGAAUCCAUCAGGAAGGACUAUGAUCGAAAAUGUCACCAGCUUAGGCAUCAAUUUGCAAAAGACCAAGGUACUGAAGUGAUUGACAAGACUAGGGCGACUGUGAAGGAUCUGCAUUCGCGAAUAAGAGUCGCUAUUUAUUCUGUCGAUUCGAUAUCUAAAAGAAUUGAAAAAAUGAGGGAUGAAGACUUGUGUCCACAACUUCUGGAAUUAACAGAGGGAUUGGUCAGGAUGUGGAAGGCUAUGCUUGAAUGUCAUCAUGCACAAUACAUUACCACAACACAUUCUUUGUUGACUUUAGCGUCGACCUUCCGACGCAACUAUUUUCCCCAGCUGACGUGGCAACAGACAUUUUUAGUGUGAGAUGUUUCAAUUUUAUAGAUAGCGUCGGUGUAGCAUAGGCCUGGCCGACGCUAAUAUAGUGUUGGAUGGCGUUUGGCCAACGCUAGUCAUUAGCUUCGACCGUUUUAGCCUAGGUCUGACACCGACGCUAAUCCGACGCUAAAUCGCCAUUAGCGUCGGCUUUUAGCCUAUUAGUGUUGGUUUUGAGCCGACGCUAAAUCCUAUUUUUCUAGUAGUGCCCAUCGCAUGGUUGGAAAAGAAACAUUGUUCAAUACCUUAGGAGAAGUUUUACAUCAUACUCCGAUCCCUAUCGGCCAUGUUAAAGGGUCACCCGUGAUUGCUUUUGAACCACUUGCACCAUUUUCUAUCCCCGACAACGAUGGAGAUAUGAAGUUUUUGGGAGAAGCAAUAGGUAGUUACGUGACAUGGCCCGAAAAUCUUGUUGGCAUAGAUACGAUAUGUUUAAUUGCAAUGCAUGUUUAAUUGUAUGAUUAUGAUUGAUUAUGUUUAAUUGCUGAUUUUUCCACUGUUAACGUUAAUUUCACAUUUAUUUAGAUUAUUACAAAGUCUAAAGGGAAUGAUAAAAAAAUUCCUUAUAAUGAAUCAGUCACUUCACCAAAAAAGGUUUGACAUAUACAUCAAUUGAAUAUGAAAUGAUUAGCUUACUAUAAUAACUAACAAAUUGAUCAAUCUCAUUUUUUCAAAUUCAAGCAAAACCCGCCGCACCACAGAUCUGCCAGAAAUCAGCCGCACCGCAAAUGCAGGUUCGUGGUAAAAAUAAAUCUUGAAAAAUUCAAGGGUAUACUUUUGGAAAAUAAAGAGAAGGAUAAAUUGUUUCUUGCGCCAUAUAAUUCAGGGCAACAUUGGGUGUUGUUUGCCAUCAAUGCCACAUCUGAAAUUGUAUACUAUUUAGAUCCACUGCACGGUUAUUAUAACAAUUACUCGGAUAUAAAGAAUAUCUUCGAUAAAUACUAUAUAUUGCGAUUCAUGAAGGAGAUUGUUGAUAUGAAUCAAAAUAUAAUUCCAG
Non-coding RNA from Cicer arietinum (chickpea), 2512 nucleotides. Lineage: Eukaryota; Viridiplantae; Streptophyta; Magnoliopsida; Fabales; Fabaceae. The record is from RefSeq and is a predicted model, not a curated record.